Molecule: transfer RNA, 74 nt
Filed under: Cellulomonas gelida
Lineage: Bacteria; Bacillati; Actinomycetota; Actinomycetes; Micrococcales; Cellulomonadaceae
Description: tRNA-Trp
Rfam family: tRNA
About the family: Transfer RNA (tRNA) molecules are approximately 80 nucleotides in length. Their secondary structure includes four short double-helical elements and three loops (D, anti-codon, and T loops). Further hydrogen bonds mediate the characteristic L-shaped molecular structure. tRNAs have two regions of fundamental functional importance: the anti-codon, which is responsible for specific mRNA codon recognition, and the 3' end, to which the tRNAs corresponding amino acid is attached (by aminoacyl-tRNA synthetases). tRNAs cope with the degeneracy of the genetic code in two manners: having more than one tRNA (with a specific anti-codon) for a particular amino acid; and 'wobble' base-pairing, i.e. permitting non-standard base-pairing at the 3rd anti-codon position.
Source: RNAcentral
AGGGCAGUGGCGCAAUUGGCAGCGCAGCGGUCUCCAAAACCGCAGGUUGCAGGUUCGAGUCCUGUCUGCCCUGC